CGCGAGGGUUUGCUCGUCGACCAAGAACCAAAGUUGGAGUAUCGAUAACGAUUAGACACCGUUGUAGUUCCAACCACAAACGUUGCCGACAGUCUGUGGGGCGACGCGUCUUCGGACGGGUCGGCUCCGCGGACAGCGCGAAAGCAUAGUCACCGGGUCGCUUGGAGAGUAUGCUGCCAACAGUGAAAUUUAAAGGGAUUGACGGGGUCUCCCACAAGGACUGGAAUCUACGGUUUAAUUUGAUUCUACACAGGACAACUUACCAGGGCAUAGUCGCGUGCGAGGUGCGGACGCAAGGCGUAGCAGAGGGUGCAGACCGGCGCCGAUCGCGGCAAGGCUUGUGCAUGGCCACCCUAAGCUGAUGGAGUGAUCUCCAGGUUAAUUCCGACAAUCAGCGAGACCCGAACACACAGUUCCGUGAGGCUGAGUGCACUGACGUUCAAACUGUAGGGAGGAU
Molecule: ribosomal RNA, 457 nt
Filed under: Mikrocytiidae sp.
Lineage: Eukaryota; Endomyxa; Ascetosporea; Mikrocytida; Mikrocytiidae
Description: SSU rRNA
Rfam family: Eukaryotic small subunit ribosomal RNA
Source: RNAcentral